Molecule: long non-coding RNA, 726 nt
Filed under: Medicago truncatula (barrel medic)
Lineage: Eukaryota; Viridiplantae; Streptophyta; Magnoliopsida; Fabales; Fabaceae
Description: lncRNA gene39181
Source: RNAcentral
UGUUUGCUCACAUGAAUUCGACUAUUCAUUCUUAGUGUUUGUUUGGUAUUGCAUUUGCAAAAUGGACUUUUGGUGGAAAUCACAACAAAAAAUCACGUUAGCGUAGAAGCUAGUAUUUGGAGCUUUUGGAAAUCACAGCAAAAAUACAUCAGAAAGCGUGCAAACGUGAUUUUGUGUGUUGCAAACGGAAAACCAAACACACGAUUAAUCUCUCAAAAUAUCUACUUGUCUAUUACAUCCAAAAACAUUAGAGACAUCAGGAAACAAAAUUGAAGUCAAAUAUAUUUUUGUUUGUAUUUUUGUAACAUGUUUGUAUUUUUUUUUGUUUUGUUUGUAGAUCUAGUGGGUUUGGAUAUGUUUGUAUUGAUUAUAUUUUUGUUGGUCUAAUACCUCAUUUGAUCCUUUAAGUUUGACAAUCGGAUUAUUCCUCUAAGUUUUUUAAGUUUUAAAUUGAUCCUUUAAGUUGUUAAUUUAAUGCACUGAUACCUUUAUAAGGAUUGGGGUAUGGGAUACUCGUAACCUUGUUCGUAAAAGCAUUCAUCAAGACCGGAUCUUCGUGCAGGCUAUCUUGCUUUGCGUUGGUGGAGAGGUGGUGAUGAUGGAUGGCCCCAGUACUUCGUCUUCUUCUUUGGAAGGAUGAUCAACGUGAUGGAAGAACAUGACUAUCAAGGUACAAACAUUUUGAAAUACAAAUAAAAUUACACACAUGGAGGUAACAUUACUAUU